GGGAUGGUCGGGUUCGGUUGUGAUCAUGGAGGUCGGGGUCGGGCCUUUGCGUCCAUUGGGCCGAAGCCCGGACCGGUGUUUAUGUUAUCUGGUGGGUUGGGCUUGUGCAGUUGGGCAGCCCAUAUGUAGAGUUGGGAGUGAUAAGGGGUUUGCGUGGUUAAGGGUUUUAACCCUAAUCAUAUUCUAAUAAGGCAACUCCAAAGGUAGUAUUGGAA
RNAcentral lists this long non-coding RNA (215 nucleotides) under Panax ginseng (ginseng). Its description in RNAcentral is "long non-coding RNA (PGIN_LNC019048)". The record is from RNAcentral. Lineage: Eukaryota; Viridiplantae; Streptophyta; Magnoliopsida; Apiales; Araliaceae.